CAGUCUGCCCCCCAGCCCACUGAUAGCAACCAUCAUAAUGCCCCACCCAGCUUCCGGCACCUUUCGCCACUCCGGCACAAACCGACACAGCUUUGCGAUCUCGCCAGCAUGCAGUCUGAUGUCUUCCCUAUAGAUGAUUCCAGAGACUCUGUGAGGCCACUAUUACAAGGUGAGACGCUUUGCGUUGAUUGGUGCUGCUGGACCACACUGGAGGUGCGAGUCCGCCGUGUAAUGGUUUAUGCCAUUACAAAGGAGCUGGCCUCUGUACUCAACUGGGCAGGGGAAAAAAAACCAAGGACCAGACAAAGCAAAAAAGGGCAUUUAAAGAGACAGCGCUGUGCAGAUGCAUAUUUGAUGGCCUGGCGCAGCAGGUAGGAGCGAACUCUAUGUCUGAGUUGGUCUUUGCUUAAGCAGUCCAGAAAUGGCUCAGAUAUGCUCCAGAUCGUAUGGGUGGCGCGCAGGAUGCACAUUAUCCAUCCCCAUCCCGGAGUAAAUAAUAAAAAGUGACGUGAAACAUAGAAAUGUAAAUAGGAAACUUUGUCUUUUAAUAAAGUAUUUUGCAAAUG
Long non-coding RNA from Oreochromis aureus, 566 nucleotides. Lineage: Eukaryota; Metazoa; Chordata; Actinopteri; Cichliformes; Cichlidae. The record is from Ensembl.